This is a small nucleolar RNA of Catharus ustulatus (Swainson's thrush), 133 nucleotides long. Lineage: Eukaryota; Metazoa; Chordata; Aves; Passeriformes; Turdidae. The record is from Ensembl.
AGGUCCAUUCUAAUUCCCUGCAGGUCAGUGCCAGUACCUGCUGGGUUUCGCUUGUGGACCACAUUAAACCGGAGAACUUAAGCAUGUAUGAGCUUACUGGUAAUCUGCUCAUGAUGUAGUUUUCUGGACAUGU